This 946-nucleotide long non-coding RNA is filed under the name Fukomys damarensis (Damara mole-rat). RNAcentral describes it as "lncRNA (ENSFDAG00000032252.1)". The record is from RNAcentral. Lineage: Eukaryota; Metazoa; Chordata; Mammalia; Rodentia; Bathyergidae.
GUUAAGUAGCCCAGGCUGGCUUCACACUUGCAAUCCUCCUGUCUCAUCCUUCUGAGUAGUUAGGAUUACGGUGUUAGGUGUUGUCAGGGAAACAACAGAACAGCCACAAAAGGAGUCACAAUCCAAAACCACAGUGAAGGAGUCACAUUAUCACGAACCCAGUGCUAUAGGGGUCCAGAGGAAUAGCACUGACAUCUGAAAGGCAGCUACAGUUCAGGGGAUGCCUGUGGUGCUCUUUAUGUUAUCAAGCAGGAGGAAGCUGGAAUCCUGGCUGCCGAAGAGAGAACACUCCAACAAGGCCCUCCUUCAGACUGGGGCUGCAUCUGCACACCAGCAUCCAGAGCAAGAGAGGAGCAACUGGAUGGCUAGAAAACCAGGGAGGGUGCUAACAAACAGGCUGCCAACAUCGCACUUCUUUGCUCAGUGCUUCUUUCUGCACUGCACCUGCACUGCCUCCUUCCAGCACUUGGUCUUUUGCUAUCACCAUAGGCCCCCCACCCCAGAGACCAGGAGCUGGGAACAGCACCCCAUGGGGCAAUGGAGGCUUCACCACUUCCAGCUGGGAGCAUGGGAGCAGCAGACACCUGCAGCUGAAUCUGUCAUAUCCAUUCCCUCCUCCUUCCUUGUUAAUCUUAUACCACGGAUGGGGACAAUAUGCCAGCAUAAAAAUGAUAUUUCCCAGCUUCCCUCACAGAGAAGCAUGGCCACUCAGAUGUGCAGCGAAGUUAUGGAGGGAGAAACUCUUUCAAAGGUUAUGGAUAUACAUAUGAUGAGUGGAGCUCUACAAGCUCUCUUGAAGUAUGAGACAAGUUUGAGAACAGAAGCCAAGCAUUAAGCAAGGUAAAGCAGAAAAAGUGGAAGAGUCUGGGCCUAUUAUAACCAUGGAGCCAAUCUUGAGCUGCCAUAAGAAAGAAAUAAACAAGUGUGUUGCUUAAGCCAAUGUUAU